AUAUAAGUAAAAUUGACUUUUUAGAUUCAUUCAUUUAAUGAUGUACAUAGUCCAUAUUAUAAACAACAUACAUCAUCAAAUGAAUGAAUCUAAAAGGUCAAUUUUGCUUAUAU
Molecule: microRNA precursor, 113 nt
Organism: Medicago truncatula (barrel medic)
Lineage: Eukaryota; Viridiplantae; Streptophyta; Magnoliopsida; Fabales; Fabaceae
Rfam family: MIR2593 microRNA precursor family
Source: Rfam